RNAcentral lists this transfer RNA (85 nucleotides) under Felis catus (domestic cat). It matches the Rfam family "tRNA". Rfam says of the family: Transfer RNA (tRNA) molecules are approximately 80 nucleotides in length. Their secondary structure includes four short double-helical elements and three loops (D, anti-codon, and T loops). Further hydrogen bonds mediate the characteristic L-shaped molecular structure. tRNAs have two regions of fundamental functional importance: the anti-codon, which is responsible for specific mRNA codon recognition, and the 3' end, to which the tRNAs corresponding amino acid is attached (by aminoacyl-tRNA synthetases). tRNAs cope with the degeneracy of the genetic code in two manners: having more than one tRNA (with a specific anti-codon) for a particular amino acid; and 'wobble' base-pairing, i.e. permitting non-standard base-pairing at the 3rd anti-codon position. Lineage: Eukaryota; Metazoa; Chordata; Mammalia; Carnivora; Felidae. The record is from Rfam by way of RNAcentral.
ACCUGGAUGGCUCAGUUGGUUAAGCAUCUGACUGCAGCUCAGAUCAUGAUCUCACAGUUUGUGGGUUCAAGCCCCACGUCAGGCC